GUCUAUGGCCACACCACCCUGAAUGAGCCUAAUCUCAUCUGAUCUCGGAGGCUAAGCAGGAUAGGGCCUGUUUAGUACUUGGAUGGGAGAAUAAUAGGGAUGUAUUUAUGCAGUGGUUA
Molecule: ribosomal RNA, 119 nt
Filed under: Oryctolagus cuniculus (rabbit)
Lineage: Eukaryota; Metazoa; Chordata; Mammalia; Lagomorpha; Leporidae
Source: RNAcentral